UACAGUCUUCCAUAAACAGAUCUUGUGUUACCAGAUCAUAGCAAAGAAAGAACACUUGGCCAUGGGACACCAGGGUGAGUAGGCACCAAGUGAGCUAUCUAUGAAUAGCUCAAUUUUGUCAUACUUGUCAAGUGAUAAAAUCAGAUGUUCUCAGCAGUCCACAGUAAAAUGGAGAUGGUACACCUGAGACAGAUUUCAAGCAGGACCAGUGAGUUCAGAAGGAUGAAAGAUAUCAAGCUGCAGAUUCAAGAAGUUUUAUGAAGCACGUUACACAGAGUGCACUGGCAACUGGCAGAUAAGAAGGGAAGAAGACUUAUUACAUAAGUUAUUUAUGGACUCUCUCAAUCAUAUUACUUACAGGAUAAGGAUGAUUCAGAAAGUAGUCUGGGAAAUAGGAUAGCCAUAAACUUCAAUAGGCUACUUACUGUAUUAUCUCAUCUAACUCAACAGUAGUGUAGACAUUAUAGUAUUUUUUCUUCUAAGUUCCAAAUGAGAAAGAAUGAGUAAUGUUUAUUUUCUCAAGUUCACACAGUUGCAUGGACUCCAACUGCAAUCCAUGUUUGUUUGACAUAACAGCCCAAACUCUAAACUAUUCCAUUCUGCAACAUUUCAAUCAUGUGAACAUAUAAAUUUAUUUUUAGUCCCCCAAAAUGAUGGCUUUCAAGAUCUAUCAUUUCACAAAUAUUAUUAUGUAUCCACAUAAGUACUAUAUAUUUUUUAAUUCAUUCACAUAUCCAUUAAUUCAGCAUACAUUUAGUACCUUCAAUGACCUAUAUACUUUCAGGCAUUUGAGUUACAUUAGUGGCAACAACCGUAAAGGGUCUUAGAUUUUUCCCUACAUGGAAGCUCAUCAGUUAACCUGCCAUGAUUUCAUAGAGAAGGUUAAGAAACAAAUCCUGGACCAAAGAUAAAGAAAGGUUUUAUUGACAGCACAGCAGGCAAUAUCAAUGUGUGUUGGCACCAGUUUCCCUUACCCCAUCAGCCAUACAGAGCGGGAAUGACUUCAGAGGAUUCUCUGCACACAGUGGAUUUGCAACACUCCUGAAAAGCUGAAUAUCAGUAACGUCCAAUAUUUUAUGAUAGGAUGCCAGCAAACAUGGCCAGGCCAACUUAUGACCUGCAGAGAGAGACUAUAUUUAUUAUUAUACACAAAAACUUGCCCCUCUACUUUCAAGGGAGAUACUGUGAUUUCUUCCACGAGUGUUUGCCAUACAAAAAUCCUUGAAAAGAUAAUCCAGAUUAAAAGGCCAUAGUACCUGUGCCUAAAAUAAGUGCAAAAAAGAAAAUGACCUGUUGAGAACUCAAUAAUUAAUGGACAAAAGUUCUUUCUUGUGAAGCUUACGCUCUAAGACAAAAAAGCAAAUAUAAUAAGUUUUUCAAUUAAAUGUGAAUGCCAGAGGGAAAAAAGAGUAGAUAAAGGAGACUGGGAGAUUUAGGGAGUGCAAUGUAAAUUUUGGCUGAUCAGAGUAGGCCCAGAUGAGAAUGCAUGAUGGACAAAGAAUUAAAGCCUUGAAGGAAAAAUUUUUCAUGAAUACAGCAUUUUCACUUGCUUUUAUAUUAAUUUUGCUGUUCUUGGGAAAAAUGAAUUCACCUAAAAUAAAACAUGUUCAUAAUUUUGUUGAUUGUAGGUCAAGACCUCACAGGAGAAUGAUUAAGAAUAUAGAAGAGGAGACCUCUCUUAACCAGCAUUUUCAUAUAUGAAGUUUACUAGAGAUAGGAUUAUAUACAUAUAUUUGGGGUUUGAUUAACAGUUACAUUCAAGUCCCCCAAACAUUUCUCUGGUAAAGCAAUUUUGAAUUCCCAAAGUACUUCGGCCUAUUUUAUAAUCCUUUUGGUACCCAUUUUCGUGUAAAUGAGAAACCAAUUUUCUCAAGAGAAGCAAACAAACAAAACCUCAUCUCAAGUCCCCAGAGGUUCAAGUUGACUUUGCAGGCCAAGGCCCAUGAGGUGAAAGUGUUUCUAAUCUUGGCACUGUACAUUUUCCUUGCCUGUGAUAUCCUCUUCUGGUCAUUACCCAUGGUGCUCUCUCAACUCACAGUUAAUUCAUCCAAACUGGCUUAUCCUCUGGGACACAACGGGGAAGUUUGAGCCUACUUAUGGCUGCAGGAAAUGCUAUUCUGUGUAUUUAAAGGGAACAGGAAAAUGAUAGUUUGGAUACUGUAAAAUCCUGCAAUCCCUUGAGGACAGUAUACUUCACAUAAGGCAUGAUGAUAAAAAGAUACAACAGAUUUUUACACGGAUCACCAAAGCCAAUUCAGAGGCAUAAUAUCAUUAUAGGAAAUUUACACUACCAUGUGAUAGGACAGCAUAUAUACAGCUUAUAUAAAUAUCUGAAUUAGGUUUAAGGAUUUGGUGAAAAUUAAUGUGCUUCAUAUAACUUACUAAAAUAAAUUUCCUGCUGACUCA
Molecule: long non-coding RNA, 2406 nt
Organism: Prionailurus viverrinus (fishing cat)
Lineage: Eukaryota; Metazoa; Chordata; Mammalia; Carnivora; Felidae
Exons: 2
Source: RefSeq, a predicted model, not a curated record